CGGUGGACGGCAUACAGCCAGCUCCCAGUGAACUCCCCCAGGGCGGAAACGCAGCAAGGGUAGCAGGUUGAGCGGUUGGUGUGCUUGUUCACCACAU
RNAcentral lists this signal recognition particle RNA (97 nucleotides) under Lewinella sp. RNAcentral describes it as "signal recognition particle sRNA small type". It matches the Rfam family "Bacterial small signal recognition particle RNA". Rfam says of the family: The signal recognition particle (SRP) is a universally conserved ribonucleoprotein involved in the co-translational targeting of proteins to membranes. RNAcentral also lists the same sequence under 1 other name. The record is from RNAcentral. Lineage: Bacteria; Pseudomonadati; Bacteroidota; Saprospiria; Saprospirales; Lewinellaceae.